UGCUCUAUCCUUAAAGAGGGGCAAAGGUAUCUUGAACAGAGUCCCAGACUUAUCAAUUUCAAAAGAGUAAACUUUGAUCCACUGCUGCUGAGUUAAUCAAGCGAUCGCGGAGGCUGAGUGCCUCUCUGACAAGGCACCAUCAGGAGAUAUCCCCAACAUGAUAUCCCGUCAUCAGCCUCCUCGCUUCAUACACUUCUCUGCCAGGAAGUGAGACCCUGCUUGACUCCCUGGAGGUGAAGUCCGCUGGUGCCAGGACCUGAGAACCUUAAACCAGACCCUCCAAGAGCCUGAGCGUGCUGGAGGAUGAGAGCUGGCAAGAGGCUCAGACGUGAUGCUGAGGAUGGAGGGAACAGCCACUGUCAGGCAAGACUAAGGUUUUAACACCGUCUUUCUUCAUCCUCCCAAUUAUAUUGUUUUCGGAUGAGAUAAACCAGAGCCCAGAGAGGUUUCCUGGUUUCUCCAAGGCCUCAGAGCACGAGGUGGUGCAGGUUUCGACUCUGGCCCACCUCCCUUCCAGUCUGUGGCUCUUCUGUGACGCCCAAGGCCUGCCGCCUGAGUUUCAAAAACCCUGGGUUCCUUCCCGACAGCAGGACGAAAUCUCUGAGGGGAGGUUUGAGAGGAAGGAGAGGGAGCUCUGCCAGUCUGGCUCAGACGCACACCCACUUGGGCGAGGGCCACCCUGACACUCCCUCAUCAGCUGGGCGCUGGAAGUCUCCCUUUCUCUUCCUCGGCCUGCCUGUGCCUGGGACACACCUGCACCCUGCCAGGGCCACACCUGGGGAAGCACCCGCUUCCGCCUGGAGCCGUGCGCUCUGCCGGGCCUCGAGCAAUUACUUCCCUCCAUUGCUUCCUGCCUCCUCCAUCCUGCCCAGGAUCCCACCUCCUCCUGCUCCCCACAACCUGCCACCAAAAAUAGUGCAGGCAUGUCCUUACACUAGAGGCAAUGAGCGCCAGCGUUGUUCUGAAGGUGUCCACAGCAGCUGUGAGGCAGGAGAAAGGCCCGGGGACCCCAUCCACAUCCCCCACUUCUGCACACAGAAGCAUCAGUCAGCACAGGAGGGGGCUGAGAGCCAGAAGGUGAACCUGAACACAGGCCCCUGCUUCAUUAACAAGAAUCAAUACCUGGUUGUAUUAACUUUCCCAACAAAGGUCCGUCGAGUCAAAGCUAUGGUUCUUUCAGUAGUCGUGUAUGAAUGUUAGAACUAUAAAGACUAUAAAGAAAGUUGAGCACCGAAGAAUUGAUGCUUUUGAACUAUGGUGUUGGAGGAAACUCUUUUAGAGUCCUUUGGACUGCAAGGAGAUCCAACCAGUCCAUCCUAAAGGAAAUCAGUACUGAAUAUUCAUUGGAAGGACUGAUGCUGAAGCUGAACUCCAAUACUUUGGCCACCCGAUGGGAAGAGCUGACUCAUUUGAAAAGACCCUGAUGCUGGGAAAGAUUGAAGGCGGGAGGAGAAGGGGACGACAGAGGAUGAGAUGGUUGGAUGGCAUCACUGACUCGAUGGACAUGAGUUUGAGCAAGUUCUGGGAGCUGGUGAUAGACAGGGAAGCCUGGGAUGCUGCAGUCCAUGGGGUCACAAAGAGCUGGACAUGACUGAGCGACUGAACAAUCUGGGGAAAAGGAUAUGAACCCCAGAAGGAUGUACUCCCUGGGGACAUUUAAACCAUCACCCCAGCUGACCAGCCAAUAUGAAAGGGCUCCACUUGAGUGGUGGACCUGAGUGGUCCACCUCCACCUGCCUUCUCCAGGGUUCUGUCAGGCCCUCCUCUGAUCUGUGAGCAACAGGUCUAAACGGAUGGCCUUGAGCGCCCUAUCAUUCUGGACCCCCUAACUGGAGCUGUCCUGGCCCGGCGGCACUGGCUUAAGGACCAGCUUGGGCAAGCUGCUGCCACUUUCCCGGAACCCCUGGCCAGCUGCGUCAGCUUGAACUGCCUCCCGGAUUUAAGAAGGGGAGAGGCUGCUUGGCUUUAAAAAGGAAAUUGGAUUUCCAUUCAUGAACUCCCCACACCAGGACACCUAACAGAAGCAGCAUUUAAAGCAAAUUUUAAGCAAUUUAUUAGCAUCUGGGAAGAACAAAAGGGGGCUAUAAAAACUGUGUUUCCUCAGCCCUAACAAGCGGAGCCACAGGAAACUCUUUACCAAUGACACCACUGAGGACCUGCCAAAACGUGCCGCCUGCCUGGAGCUCUACCCACGCAGGACUGGGGCACAAGGAACCCCCAGAGCCCUGGGGAAUGUUGCAAGAGCUUGGCUGAGGCUGGGCAGCCACUGGCAGCGAUGAUCUCAGCAUCGACAGAGCAAACGCGCUGGAUGGAAAAACUGCGGAACCGAGUAGCUGAGUAAUGUGCCCACAGUCACCAUGGCAGCAAGUUAGAGUCAGAAUUCAAACCCAGCUCCUCUGUCCCAGACUCUGGCUCUCAAUGUUCUGCUCCAAGGACUUAAAGAGACGUCACUAAGGCAACACCUUCCCUGCAGAGAGAAGGGUUCCUGCCAGUUUCUCCGAGGAUGGGCUCACUAGGAUGCUGAGGGCCUGCAGAACUGGAGAAAAAGUCAGCUUGAGGGCUCCUGUCUGCCAGCCUGUGUGAAAGAAAGCCUGUGAGAGACCCCACAUCACUCAGAAUCUUCUGUCCCACCUGCGUGGAGAGGCCUGCUUGCCAGCCCCUCACUGUCCACCACGGUCCACACGCGACUGCAGGAGUCACCAGCCAGCUUCCCCGUCACGGCUCUCUGCCCGCCCAGCGCCCUCCAAGGACGUUCCGUUCUCCAGUUACUGCGCGUCCAGAUGCUACCUAGGCUCCAAGGCACAGUCCUCGAGAGCGUGGGCUCUGGGGUGGCCGCUGAGCUCGCGUCCGAGCUGUGUCGCUUUGGGAAGCUUGCUCAACCUCUCUGGGCCGCCGUGUCUUCAUCUAGGACGUGAGGAUAAUAAUGGCGCCCACCUCAGGCUCAGCAAGCGUCUGAAUACGCAUCUCACGAGGAAGUCAUUAGCAGAAGCUCGGCCUGUUCUAAUUAUAAAGCAGGCAAGGAGUCUGCUGAGGCCAAUGAGGGGCUCAUGCCCACGUCUGGCCUCACAGAGACACUAGGCCAUGGGGUUAGAGCAGGCCCGGGGGUAGCACCAUUAGGGCUCAAAUGCCACGUCCGUCCUGUGCCAGUGUGUUAACCAAGUCACUCAGGUUCCUGUGCCUCAGUUUCUACUCGCUGGGGAUAAAAAAAAAAAGUAUCUACUGGGAACUUCCCUGGUGGCCCACGGUUAAGAAUCCACCUGCCAACACAGUGGACACAGGUUCGAUCCCUAGUCAGGGAACUAGAUCCCACAUGACACCAAACAACUUGGCCAGCGCGCUGCAACUACUGAGCCCGCACACCCUAGGGCCCGUGCUCUGCAACAAGAGAAGACACCGCAAUAAGAAGCUUGUGUAACGAAGAGUAGCCCUAGCUCGCGGCAACUAGAGAAAGCCCGCUUGCAGCAACUUGAAGAACCAGCACAGCCAAAGAAGAAAAGUACCCACUGACAAGGUUUGUCGCA
Dama dama (fallow deer) is the source of this 3521-nucleotide long non-coding RNA. RefSeq lists it as uncharacterized. NCBI's taxonomy places the organism in Eukaryota, Metazoa, Chordata, Mammalia, Artiodactyla, Cervidae. The record is from RefSeq and is a predicted model, not a curated record. The transcript is spliced from 6 exons.